AGGAAAGGAAAGGAAAGGAAAGGAAGGAAAGGAAAGGAAGGAAAGGAAAGGCAGCGGGGGAGGAGGCAGCCCAACUUUUUGAGGGGCUGGCGGCUGGGAGCGGGGUCUGCGUGUUAACAGUGUCUAUCUGUUGAUCUAAAUUGAUCUACGUGGUUAUAAAAGCGGAGAAAGCAACUCAUUCCGUACACGUUAACAGAGGGUUUACCUGGCAAAAAGCGGCGCUCGGCUUCUUUUCUGACCGGCGCUUCCGUACACAGCCAGGUACGUGCGUUCUCUUGCAGCUCAGCACAACGCCUCGUGUUUAACGUGCACCCCACGUGCAGUUAUUUAGGUGCUGACGUGUAAACAUUUCGCUUCGGCGAACAGAAGAGCUCCAGAACCGAUCAGUUUCUACCCCAGCUGCGCAGGGAGAGCGAGGGGGACGACCUCAGCCUGCUUCGUUGUAGCAAGCUCAACCGCUUAGGAAAAAAGCUCUUAUUUAUGACUGCUGCCCUACACGAUGCAAAUGGCAAUCUUUGAGAUCAAAACAUACCGGUGCACACCCACAGAAAGCAUUAAUGUCAUUCACCAACGGGAACACAAAUGCCCUCUCCCAGCGUUUCACCAGAUGAGCACGGCCGCAGAAGCCAAGUCUGAAAUACAUACGUUCAACAGAUGUGUUUGUAUAUGCUCCCAGCAGAUACAUGCCAGCAUUCUGUGCCUAACCUUAUGUAAAGGCCAGGCGUGUGGUAUAAAUGCAUGCAAGUUUAGGAAUCGGAGCCUACGUAGCAAAACUGCAGCUCAGACUACUGUAUAAAAACAGGUAGUAAAAGCUUAAUUACCAAUAGCAUUAUGCUGUCUAUAUUGUUAAAUGUGAGCUCUAUAAUUAAGAUGUAAAUUCACGUGUGAGCAGUGAAUUACAGAGCUCUGAAAAUGUAGAGGAAAAUCCAACCAUGGCAUAGAAACAUCAGGCUUAAAAUAAAUAAAUAAAAAUAAAUAAAUCAGUUUUUAUCAAAUUAUAAAAUGAGGCAUUUAAUCAUGUAUUAGAAUGCUCUCUGAGGAACAACUGGAUACAUGUGGAUUUUGGAAUCGAAUCAAAACUAAAAUAAGACGUGUUCAUUCUAUGCACCUUUGUAGUAUAUAAGCCCAAAAUACAGCUCCUGUAAAUAGAUUUUUGUCUGCCCUUUGGCAAACUAUAUGAAAAUAGAACUGUAUUGUUUCUGAUGGCUCUGAGUGUCCAUUUGUAGAUUUAUAUUCAAAAGUGCUAUUUUUCAAUUUUAUGCUAAAAUACUUUCAAAUCAUUUCAUUCUUAUGCGUUUUCUUUAAGUAACCCAUACCCGGUCCCUAUAGAUGGGCCAUUUCAUCAAGUCACUUCUACGUAUUAAGUUCUCUAGAAUAUAUCCUCCUUCAUAAGACAGCUGAUCCAUUUUGAAGUGUAGCAAAGCACAGGUCAGCUUUAAUUUCUACUUUUGGUCAUUGUUUCUUUAGAUGAUGUUUUAUAUUCAAAUGCUGAAAUGUCUCUUUACUUCUGCCAUGGAAACUUUCCUUUCUGUAUUCCCAUAGGUUCUGCCACCUUGUUGACUUUUUCCCCCCAUAUCGCACACCCUCAGAUACAUUUUUCCUCUCUCUCUAUUUGCCAUCUCUAUGUUUCUCUCACCCAUCUCUCAUCCAAGCAAGUGGCUCUCUUCCCUGCCACUGCUGCUGCUCAUGCAACCAGAAAUACAGUGCUAUAGUUUGCAUGCUGAUAAACAAAGCAGUUGGCUUCUUCCCUGGGACUGAAAAUGCCACCUCCACCAGACCAGGGCCUGGAAUUCCAACUGUGUUCAUGAACUUGGGUCUCAGUUAUCCAUCAGUUUAGAAAAAUAAGAUAAGCAAUAUUACUACAGGCAAAUAAGCUGUGUGUAAACAUGGCUUCACUUUCCCAAGCUUUGCAGUAGAAAUAAAUAAAAUAGCAAUAGGGGGAAAAGAAAAAAAGACUCAUACAAUUUAAUUAAUUUUUAUCAGGGGAUGUAGAGUAAGACAUGCAUGGAAAUGCCCAUCUGCACUAACUUACCAAAACAAACAGUGUAAAAUCUUACCACAAGGAGUCUAUAGAAAACAGUGGUAAUCGAAUCAGAGAAGGGAAGGAUAAAAGCAUCCUGGCUGUGUGCAGCAGUCAAGGAGCAUUACUGGUCAGAAUCUGUGUUUCCAUCUCUCUGUGCGCCUAUAAUUUGUAUUACAUAUACUCCAUGUUUAUGUAUCUUCAUAUUUAAAUACUACAGACAUUUCUAGCUACAUUCUUACAACACAACUACCUCAAGGCAACUGGAGAACUGUAAUUCAGUGGCACUUCACAGAAGCUGCACAAUGAAUUGUGUCGAAUGUGUAUUUACCAAAAGGCAAAGCUCAAGUCAUCUGGCAAGGAGCGAGAAUGUCAAAUACAUUUUAUUAGCUGCAGAGAAUUAAUUUGAAAACAAGUACAUGGUUUACUUAGUGUAACGUGUUGGGGGUUGGACUCUGUGAUAAUCUCCAGAGAUCCCUUCUAACCCUACAAUUCUGUGAUUCUGCGAAAUUUUGCCAUACACUGUGGUACCUUGUUCAGAGCAUAACUGGGGAAUAUCAUGAAGUUUGAAAUAAAUAUCAAGUAAUCAUCAAA
This is a non-coding RNA of Coturnix japonica (Japanese quail), 2614 nucleotides long. The record is from RefSeq and is a predicted model, not a curated record. Lineage: Eukaryota; Metazoa; Chordata; Aves; Galliformes; Phasianidae.